RNAcentral lists this transfer RNA (72 nucleotides) under Bos taurus (domestic cattle). It matches the Rfam family "tRNA". Rfam says of the family: Transfer RNA (tRNA) molecules are approximately 80 nucleotides in length. Their secondary structure includes four short double-helical elements and three loops (D, anti-codon, and T loops). Further hydrogen bonds mediate the characteristic L-shaped molecular structure. tRNAs have two regions of fundamental functional importance: the anti-codon, which is responsible for specific mRNA codon recognition, and the 3' end, to which the tRNAs corresponding amino acid is attached (by aminoacyl-tRNA synthetases). tRNAs cope with the degeneracy of the genetic code in two manners: having more than one tRNA (with a specific anti-codon) for a particular amino acid; and 'wobble' base-pairing, i.e. permitting non-standard base-pairing at the 3rd anti-codon position. Lineage: Eukaryota; Metazoa; Chordata; Mammalia; Artiodactyla; Bovidae. The record is from Rfam by way of RNAcentral. RNAcentral also lists the same sequence under 4 other names.
UCCCUGGUGGCUCAGAUGGUAAAGCAUCUGCCUGCAAUGCAAGAGACCUGGGUUUGAUCCCUGGUUAGGGAA